GUGCGAAAUAUUACUGUAAACGGCCGCCCUAGCGUGAGGGUGCUAAGGUAGCGAAAUUCCUUGCCUUUUGAUUGUAGGCCUGCAUGAAUGGUUUAACGAGGGUUUAACUGUCUCUUGAUUUAAAAUUGAAAUUGUACUGAAGGUGAAGAUACCUUCAUUAAAAAGUCAGACAAAAAGACCCCGUGCAACUUUGAAAAUUAACUUUAUUCAGAAGUGAAAGAUUUUUAGGUGGGGCGCCUAGAAAGUAAAUCUAACCUUUCUGAACAUUUAAUUCUUUCCGGACUUGACCCGAUUAUAUUCGAUCAUAGGAGAAGUUACGCCGGGGAUAACAGGCUAAUCCUUUAGUAGAGCUCGUAUUGGCUAAAGGGAUUGGCACCUCGAUGUUGAAUCAGGGAUGAUAGCUUCAAGGCGUAGAGGCUUUGAGAGUAGGUCUGUUCGACCUUUAAUACCCU
Molecule: ribosomal RNA, 452 nt
Filed under: Magallana ariakensis (Suminoe oyster)
Lineage: Eukaryota; Metazoa; Mollusca; Bivalvia; Ostreida; Ostreidae
Description: partial large subunit ribosomal RNA
Rfam family: Bacterial large subunit ribosomal RNA
Source: RNAcentral